Long non-coding RNA from Gavialis gangeticus (Gharial), 636 nucleotides. RefSeq lists it as uncharacterized. Lineage: Eukaryota; Metazoa; Chordata; Crocodylia; Gavialidae. The record is from RefSeq and is a predicted model, not a curated record. The transcript has 3 exons.
AUGCCUCCUUUCAAGGUCACCCCUUCAAUCAGUAUACUGUCUUUGCUAUUUGCAGGAGCUAUAACUUAAGGACUUCCUGGGGAUGUGCUACAUACAUAGGAUGAGUUGGCACAGUAAGUCUGUUAGGUAUUUACUUGCUGUCCUGUAUCAGCUCCUUCAUGAGACAGAGAUUAUCUAUCCUUUUAAUAUCAAAGAGCUCCAGUGCUAGAGAAAUACUUACUAGUUUCCACCUAGAAGAUCCCUUGGUCAGGGUUGCAAACUACAGGUUAAAUACCAGCUCAGUCAAUACUGAGACAAACUCUGUGGACAAUUAAGCAUUGAGUUUCAAAACAAGGAAGAACGUGAAGACUGGAACAAGGAAUGAGUUACCCAUCAUAAUGGCAAUCCAGAUGUUUUCCUAAACAGGAGCAGCUGAGAGGCUAGAUUGAAGCUCUGAGCUGCAGUAACCAGGACAACAUACAAGCAUUAAUAAAAAGCUUGACCCCAGUCUUGCAAUGAAUGCCACAAGACCCCACAUCUACACAGAUGUACUGCCUACAAGAACAUAACUCUUCUAAUGAGGACAGUUCUGCUAAAUUUCAUGGACUAGGCAACUCCAACAUUCUCAGUGCCUGUUACCUGCAUGGUGAUUACUAU